UGAGUAACGGCGAGCGAAAGGGAAGAGCCCAGCGCCGAAGCCCGCUCUCGAGAGGGAGCCGGGCAAUGUGGCGUUUAGGAGUGAGCGUGCCGGCGGUCGACUCUGCAGCAAGUCCCCCUGACCGGGGCUGUAACCCAGAGUGGGUGCGAGGCCCAUAGCUGCUAGGUCUCCGUCGGAUGCGAUCUCCUUGGAGUCGGGUUGCUUGGGAGUGCAGCCCUAAUCGGGUGGUAAACUCCACCUAAGGCUAAAUACGGCCGUGAGACCGAUAGCAAACAAGUACCGUGAGGGAAAGUUGCAAAGAACUUUGAAGAGAGAGUUCAAGAGUACGUGAAACUGCUCAGAGGCAAACGGGUGGGCCCUCGAAAUCCUGUGGCGGGAGGAUUCAGUUUUUCGGCGUGGACUCUGCGUUGGGGACUCAUUGGAUCCGCGGACGCGGCCCCUCCGAUGCAGAGCUUUCGCGUCGUGGAACGCAUUUGAUUCCCGUCCGAAGGACCCCGCAACCGGUUACGGAACGGCCUUAAGGGCACGCAACGGCAGUUGGCCGGUGGUUCGCCUCGUGUGGAUCGUCGGCUGUUAGCCAGUGUGUCGCACGGCUCGUGACGUGACCGUGGUGUCGCGAGGCCCAUUUGGGCUUCUUCGCCUCCUCCGCUAAGCGGAUGGCCGGACCGAUGGCAGGGGCGAGCACUCUUGCGGGCGCACGGACUGACUCCGUGGCCCAGCGGGAGAGAGCUUCCUCGUUGGCUGUCGCGUAUCGGUCGGGGGUG
This 764-nucleotide ribosomal RNA is filed under the name Larinioides cornutus. RNAcentral describes it as "eukaryotic LSU rRNA". It matches the Rfam family "Eukaryotic large subunit ribosomal RNA", at positions 80 to 628 of the family's 3401-position model. Lineage: Eukaryota; Metazoa; Arthropoda; Arachnida; Araneae; Araneidae. The record is from RNAcentral.